RNAcentral lists this ribosomal RNA (466 nucleotides) under uncultured bacterium. Its description in RNAcentral is "partial 16S ribosomal RNA". It matches the Rfam family "Bacterial small subunit ribosomal RNA", at positions 28 to 505 of the family's 1533-position model. The record is from RNAcentral.
GACGAACGCUGGCGGCGUGCUUAACACAUGCAAGUCGAACGGAAAGGCCCUGCUUUUGUGGGGUGCUCGAGUGGCGAACGGGUGAGUAACACGUGAGUAACCUGCCCUUGACUUUGGGAUAACUUCAGGAAACUGGGGCUAAUACCGGAUAGGAGCUCCUGCUGCAUGGUGGGGGUUGGAAAGUUUCGGCGGUUGGGGAUGGACUCGCGGCUUAUCAGCUUGUUGGUGGGGUAGUGGCUUACCAAGGCUUUGACGGGUAGCCGGCCUGAGAGGGUGACCGGCCACAUUGGGACUGAGAUACGGCCAAGACUCCUAGGGGAGGCAGCAGUGGGGAAUAUUGCACAAUGGGCGGAAGCCUGAUGCAGCAACGCCGCGUGCGGGAUGACGGCCUUCGGGUUGUAAACCGCUUUCGCCUGGGACGAAGCGUGAGUGAAGGUAAUGGGGAAAGAGGCACCGGCUAACUAAG